GGGGGGGGAAAUUAAUAAUAUUAUAAAUAAUAAAAAAAAUUUUAGUAUUUAAAUGGGGGUUUAAGUAUUUAAAAAGAAAAAAUUUUUUAAUUUAUAGUUAAUUAUGUAUAGUGAUAGAAUUUUGAAAUAGGGUUAAAAUUAUUAAUUUAUAGGAAAGUAGAUUUUAUUUGUUGUAUCUUGUGUAUCAGAGUUUAUUAAUAAAAUGUUUAAUAUUUAAAGUUUCUCGAAUAGGAAAGAGUUAAUUAAUUAAAAAAUUUAAUGUAAAAUAAUUAUUUUUAAUAAUUAAUUAGAAAUGAAAUGUUAUUCGUUUUUCUAUAUAUCUAGUUUUUUUAGAAAAAAAUUUAAUUUUAAAUUUAAUAUUUUUUAAUUUAAGUUUAAUUUAUUUUAAAAAUUUAAAUUUAAAUAAUUUAUGGGAUAAUCUUUAGAUUAGAUUUUUAUAAAUAAAUUAAAGUUAAUUUGAAAAUUUUAAAAUUUAUAUUGUUUAAAAAUUUUAAUUUUUUAUAAAUUAAUUUCAGUUAAAAUUAGAUUUAAUAUUUUAUUUUGAUUUUUUAUAAAAUUAGAAAUUUUAAUUAGAAAAAUUUUGGAAUAAUGAUAAAAUUAGUAUAUUUUUAUUUAUAGGGGGUAAUUAUAAUUAUAAAAUAAUUUUAAGGAAUUCAGCAAAAUAAUAUUAUAUUCACCUGUUUAUCAAAAACAUGUCCUUUUGGGUUAUAAUUUAAGGUUUAUUCUGCCCACUGAAUUAAUUUAAAGGGCUGCAGUAUAUUGACUGUACAAAGGUAGCAUAAUCAUUAGUUUUUUAAUUGGGGACUUGUAUGAAAGAUUGGAUGAAAUAUAAACUGUCUUGAGAUUAAUAAAUUAGAAUUUAAUUUUUUCAUUAAAAAGUGAAAAUUUUAUUAAAAGACGAGAAGACCCUAUAGAGUUUUAUAUUGAUAAAAAUUGAAAUUUUAUUUAAAUAUUUAAAAUUAAAUUUUUAGGAAUAUUUUGUUGGGGGGACAUAAAAAUUUAAUUAACUUUUUAAUUAAUUAAACAAAAAUAAUUGAAUUUUUGAUCCAGUUUUAUUGAUUAAAAGAAAAAAUUACCUUAGGGAUAACAGCGUAAUUUUUUUUUUUAGUCCAUAUAAUAAAAAAAGUUUGCGACCUCGAUGUUGGAUUAAGAUAAAAUUUAAAUGCAAAAGUUUAAAAUUUUUGAUCUGUUCGAUCAUUAAAAUCUUACAUGAUCUGAGUUCAAACCGGUGUAAGCCAGGUUGGUUUCUAUCUUUAAUAAGAGAUUAUAUUUUAGUACGAAAGGAUUAAAUAUAAGAAAUAUUUUUAUAUUAUUUGAAUUUUAAUAAUUUUUAUGUAAAAUAAUU
RNAcentral lists this ribosomal RNA (1345 nucleotides) under Himantopterus dohertyi. Its description in RNAcentral is "16S ribosomal RNA". The record is from RNAcentral. Lineage: Eukaryota; Metazoa; Arthropoda; Insecta; Lepidoptera; Himantopteridae.